GCGGGUGCGCCGACUCGGGAAGGUCGACAGCGGCUGCAAACCGCCUGCUUCGCGCCUAGGGGGGUUCGGCUCCCUCCACCCGCA
Molecule: transfer RNA, 84 nt
Filed under: Micromonospora jinlongensis
Lineage: Bacteria; Bacillati; Actinomycetota; Actinomycetes; Micromonosporales; Micromonosporaceae
Description: tRNA-Cys
Source: RNAcentral